RNAcentral lists this microRNA precursor (159 nucleotides) under Marmota monax (woodchuck). Lineage: Eukaryota; Metazoa; Chordata; Mammalia; Rodentia; Sciuridae. The record is from RNAcentral.
CUCUCUCUCUUUCUCUCUCUCUCUCUCUCUCUCUCUCUCUCAAUGGAACAUAAUGAGUUAAGAAGAGAGCUACUUUAAAAUGUUCUACCAUACAUAAAAUACUAACAUAAAAAGGUAUUACAGAGAGAGAGAGAGAGAGAGAGAGAGAGAGAGAGAGAG